AUGACAUUGACAUUGCCCAUAUAUAGACGGGAAGGUGAAGAAACCAGAGACGAGAAAAAUUAGCGCUUCUAGUCUUCUACUCUGAAGAUUGAAGAACACCAUCGUCAGCAAUGAGCAACUCAGCAGCCGGCGCCGCUGACCCCAGCAACGACAAUAAGCCGUCAUUGUAUUCCGGCGGUAACCAUCUCGCCCUCCAUCGGUUUGUCCAGGCCAUGCUUUUACUUGUGGGAGCAGCCGCCUUAAUAGGCCUGCUUCUUUAUAACUCAGCCUACCCUUUCCGGUUUCUUCCCGGAUCUUAUCAUCGUGCCUCUGAAUCACCAUCUCCGUUCCUGGCAAAAGUUGAGUUGGAUAGAGUUCUAAGAAAAGCAUCAAUGGAGGACAGUACCGUUAUCUUGACUACUUUGAAUGAGGCAUGGGCAGAACCCGGGUCUAUGCUUGAUCUCUUUCUGGAGAGUUUUCGAAUUGGGAAUGGAACAAAGAGGCUUUUGAAUCAUAUGGUCAUAAUAUGCUUGGACCGCAAGGCAUAUGCCCGUUGCUUAGCUUUACACUCUCACUGUUAUUAUCUCGACAGCAAAGGAGCCAAUUUUUCACGUGAGGCUUUCUUCAUGACUCCAGCAUACUUGGAGAUGAUGUGGGGAAGAAUUCAUCUUCUGGCUUCUAUCCUUGAGAUGGGCUACAACUUUGUUUUCACGGAUACUGAUGUGAUGUGGCUUCAAGAUCCAUUUCAACGGUUCUAUUCAGAUGCUGAUUUCCAAAUUGCUUGUGAUAAAUUCUUUGGGAACUCUUAUAAUGUAAAAAACAAACCAAAUGGAGGAUUCAACUACGUAAAGUCUAACAGUCGGACGGUUGAAUUUUACAAGUUUUGGUACAAGUCAAGAGAAGCAUAUCCAGGGAAGCAUGAUCAAGAUGUACUUAACAAGAUCAAGGGUGAUCCAUUCAUCACGGAGAUUGGACUGAAAAUGAGGUUCCUUGAUACUGCUUACUUUGGUGGGUUCUGUGAGAUUAGUAGAGAUUUAAACCUAGUUUGUACAAUGCAUGCAAACUGUUGCAUUGGCCUUGAGAACAAAGUUUAUGACCUUAGAAUUUUGCUCGAGGAUUGGAGCAAAUUUAUGUCACUGCCCCCAAGUAUGAAGGCAUCACCACCAUCCUCAUGGACAGUUCCACAAAAAUGCAGGAAUUCCUUUGGUAAAUUACCAAAGAAGAACGGCAGAAGGUAAUCAUAAAUGGCAAUAUUUGCACACUUUUAAGGGUACGUUCCGAUCAUAUAAAUCCAGAAGCAUCCAUAAAGAAGGAUCUAUGUACACAUCCUGGUUCUUUUGGAGACAUGUGUAUACUUUGUGGGCAAAGGUUGGCUGAGGAAUCUGGUGUUACAUUUGGGUAUAUUCACAAGGUAUACUUCUUCAAGAUGAUUGGUUGGCGGAAUUCUGAGUUUUGGUUAUCUUUGCUGCAUAUUGAAAGAGAAUAUUUGUAAUACUUCUGAAACUUCUUAUAUUGAGGCAUCAUACAGCUUAUAUAUAUUCACAAGUUACCGAUCCCCUUAUA
Alnus glutinosa is the source of this 1542-nucleotide RNA transcript. RefSeq lists it as uncharacterized. The transcript is spliced from 5 exons. NCBI's taxonomy places the organism in Eukaryota, Viridiplantae, Streptophyta, Magnoliopsida, Fagales, Betulaceae. The record is from RefSeq and is a predicted model, not a curated record.